UACGAAGGGGGCGAGCGUUGUUCGGAUUUACUGGGCGUAAAGGGCGCGCAGGCGGCUCAUUUUGUCAGGCGUGAAAGCCCCGGGCUUAACCUGGGAACUGCGUUUGAUACGGAUGGGCUAGAGUUCGGGAGAGGAGAGUGGAAUUCCCAGUGUAGAGGUGAAAUUCGUAGAUAUUGGGAAGAACACCGGUGGCGAAGGCGGCUCUCUGGACCGAUACUGACGCUGAGGCGCGAAAAGCGUGGGGAGCAAACAGGG
Molecule: ribosomal RNA, 255 nt
Filed under: uncultured bacterium
Lineage: Bacteria
Description: partial 16S ribosomal RNA
Rfam family: Bacterial small subunit ribosomal RNA
Source: RNAcentral